This 236-nucleotide unclassified non-coding RNA is filed under the name air metagenome. RNAcentral's name for it is "partial contains small subunit ribosomal RNA, internal transcribed spacer 1, and 5.8S ribosomal RNA". The stretch from base 1 to 46 matches the Rfam family "Eukaryotic small subunit ribosomal RNA", at positions 1786 to 1831 of the family's 1831-position model. The record is from RNAcentral.
AAGUCGUAACAAGGUUUCCGUAGGUGAACCUGCGGAAGGAUCAUUACUUUAUCUGCGGCAACCGCUGUACUCGUACAGCAGUUGUUGUUUGAUUUCCACCCUUGUCUUUUGCGCACCCCCGUUUCCUCGGCUGCUUCGGCAGCCGCUAGGACACCUUAUAACCUUUUGUACUGUUAUAAUCAGCGUCUGAAAAUAUUAAAUUAUUACAACUUUCAACAACGGAUCUCUUGGUUCUG